UACGGAGGAUGCAAGCGUUAUCCGGAUUUAUUGGGUUUAAAGGGUGCGUAGGCGGGAAGAUAAGUCAGUGGUGAAAUCCUGCAGCUUAACUGUAGAAUUGCCGUUGAUACUAUUUUUCUUGAGUGUGGUCAAGGAAGGCGGAAUGUGUAAUGUAGCGGUGAAAUGCUUAGAUAUUACACAGAACACCGAUUGCGAAGGCAGCUUUCUGGGCCGUUACUGACGCUGAUGCACGAAAGCGUGGGGAUCGAACAGGAUUAGAUA
RNAcentral lists this ribosomal RNA (261 nucleotides) under uncultured prokaryote. RNAcentral describes it as "partial 16S ribosomal RNA". It matches the Rfam family "Bacterial small subunit ribosomal RNA", at positions 524 to 784 of the family's 1533-position model. The record is from RNAcentral.